Molecule: unclassified non-coding RNA, 240 nt
Filed under: soil metagenome
Description: partial contains 5.8S ribosomal RNA, internal transcribed spacer 2, and large subunit ribosomal RNA
Source: RNAcentral
AACGGUCUAUACCUGCGGUACCUGCGGAGGGAUCAUUGUCGGUUCCAUUUUGUGGGUUAUUUCGUGUGGGUGUAAUGUAAUCCGCCUUUUGCGGUUCGGGUGCUUUCCCCCGAUACUUGGGCGGAGGGUUACCUCUCGAAAGGGAGGGUCGCCCUCUGAGCCAAAAACGGUGUCUUAAUGCCUUGUCGUCGAAUGUCUAAUAGAGUCGCCUCGUGCGAUUAGUAUGAAUUACAACUUUUA